This 506-nucleotide ribosomal RNA is filed under the name uncultured bacterium. RNAcentral's name for it is "partial 16S ribosomal RNA". It matches the Rfam family "Bacterial small subunit ribosomal RNA", at positions 29 to 523 of the family's 1533-position model. The record is from RNAcentral.
AGUGAACGCUGGCGGUAGGCCUAACACAUGCAAGUCGAACGGCAGCACAGGAGAGCUUGCUCUCUGGGUGGCGAGUGGCGGACGGGUGAGGAAUACAUCGGAAUCUACUUUUUCGUGGGGGAUAACGUAGGGAAACUUACGCUAAUACCGCACACGACCUACGGGUGAAAGCAGGGGAUCUUCGGACCUUGCGCGAUUGAAUGAGCCGAUGUCGGAUUAGCUAGUUGGCGGGGUAAAGGCCCACCAAGGCGACGAUCCGUAGCUGGUCUGAGAGGAUGAUCAGCCACACUGGAACUGAGACACGGUCCAGACUCCUACGGGAGGCAGCAGUGGGGAAUAUUGGACAAUGGGCGCAAGCCUGAUCCAGCCAUACCGCGUGGGUGAAGAAGGCCUUCGGGCUGUAAAGCCCUUUUGUUGGGAAAGAAAUCCAGCUGGUUAAUAUCCGGUUGGGAUGACGGUACCCAAAGAAUAAGCACCGGUUAACUUCGUGCCAGCCGCCGCGGUAA